RNAcentral lists this non-coding RNA (47 nucleotides) under Schistosoma margrebowiei. Lineage: Eukaryota; Metazoa; Platyhelminthes; Trematoda; Strigeidida; Schistosomatidae. The record is from RNAcentral.
AUUUGGCUGACGAGUCUCUUAAAUAGAACGAAACACGCGUCUUAGAU